GUUACGUUCACAGUGUGGUGUGGUGUGUUACGUUCACGUUGUGGUGUGUUACGUUCACUGUGUGGUGUGGUGUGUUACGUUCAUGUUGUGGUGUGUUACGUUCACAGUGUGGUGUGGUGUGUUACGUUCAUGUUGUGGUGUGGUGUGUUACGUUCACAGUGUGGUGUGGUGUGUUACGUUCACGUUGUGGUGUGGUGUGUUACGUUCAUGUUGUGGUGUGGUGUGUUACGUUCAUGUUGUGGUGUGUUACGUUCACAGUGUGGUGUGGUGUGUUACGUUCACAGUGUGGUGUGUUACGUUCAUGUUGUGGUGUGUUACGUUCACAGUGUGGUGUGUUCAUGGUGUGGUGUGUUACGUUCAUGUUGUGGUGUGGUACGUUCAUGUUGUGGUGUGGUGUGUUACGUUCACGUUGUGGUGUGUUACGUUCACAGUGUGGUGUGGUGUGUUACGUUCACAGUGUGGUGUGUUACGUUCAUGUUGUGGUGUGUGUGUGGUACGUUCAUGUUGUGUUGUGGUGUGGUACGUUCAUGUUGUGGUGUGUUACGUUCACAGUGUGGUGUGGUGUGUUACGUUCACGUUGUGGUGUGUUACGUUCACUGUGUGGUGUGGUGUGUUACGUUCAUGUUGUGGUGUGUUACGUUCAUGUUGUGGUGUGGUGUGUUACGUUCAUGUUGUGGUGUGUUACGUUCACAGUGUGUGUGGUGUGUUACGUUCACAGUGUGGUGUGUUACGUUCAUGUUGUGGUGUGUUACGUUCACAUUGUGGUGUGUUACGUUCACAGUGUGGUGUGGUGUGUUACGUUCAUGUUGUGGUGUG
Long non-coding RNA from Oncorhynchus tshawytscha (Chinook salmon), 816 nucleotides. The record is from Ensembl. NCBI's taxonomy places the organism in Eukaryota, Metazoa, Chordata, Actinopteri, Salmoniformes, Salmonidae.